UGAAUAUAUGGGUAGUAACUGUCUUAAUACAUUGUUAUGAAGUUAGUAAGUAAGUGCAAAUACUUACUCGAUUAAAAAAGACGAGAAGACCCUAGAAGCUUGAAAAUGGUUUUGUUGGGGCGACAGAAUUGCACUUAACCAAUUUUAAUAUACAUGAAGUAUUGUGCUGUAAGAGUAAGCUACUC
Molecule: ribosomal RNA, 185 nt
Filed under: Levantina spiriplana
Lineage: Eukaryota; Metazoa; Mollusca; Gastropoda; Stylommatophora; Helicidae
Description: partial 16S ribosomal RNA
Source: RNAcentral